Molecule: small RNA, 102 nt
Filed under: Klebsiella pneumoniae
Lineage: Bacteria; Pseudomonadati; Pseudomonadota; Gammaproteobacteria; Enterobacterales; Enterobacteriaceae
Description: partial RtT sRNA
Rfam family: RtT RNA
About the family: This family represents a bacterial cis-regulatory element known as RtT RNA. The exact function of RtT is unknown although it is thought that it may be involved in changing the cellular response in relation to amino acid starvation.
Source: RNAcentral
UUCGACUAAGGUUCGACUCGAGCGAAGCGAGAGAACGUUGCCGCAGGCAACGGCCCGAAGGGCGAGGCGCUUUAGCGGCGAGUAAUCCUUCCCCCACCAUCA